CCGCCGCGGUAAUACCAGCUCUUCGAGUGGUGUGGAUGUUUAUUGGGCCUAAAGCAUCCGUAGCUGGCUAGGUCAGUCCCUUGUUAAAUCCACCGAAUUAAUCGUUGGAUCGCGGGGGAUACUGCUUGGCUAGGGGACGAGAGAGGCAGACGGUAUUUUCGGGGUAGGGGUGAAAUCCUAUAAUCCCGGGAAGACCACCAGUGGCGAAGGCUGUCUGCUAGAACGCGCCCGACGGUGAGGGAUGAAAGCUGGGGGAGCGAACCGGAUUAGAUACCCGGGUAGUCCCAGCUGUAAACGAUGCAGACUAGGUGUUUGGACGGCCACGUGCCGUUCUAGUGCCGCAGGGAAGCUGUUAAGUCUGCCGCCUGGGGAGUACGAUCGCAAGAUUGAAACUUAAAGGAAUUGGCGGGGGAGCACCACAAGGGGUGAAGCUUGCCGGUUUAAUUGGAGUCAACGCCGGAAAUCUCACCGGGAGCGACAGCAGUAUGAAAGCCAGAUUGAAGGUCUUGCUAGACGAGCUGAGAGGAGAGGUGCAUGG
Molecule: ribosomal RNA, 538 nt
Filed under: uncultured archaeon
Lineage: Archaea
Description: bacterial SSU rRNA
Rfam family: Archaeal small subunit ribosomal RNA
Source: RNAcentral